RNAcentral lists this ribosomal RNA (481 nucleotides) under uncultured bacterium. Its description in RNAcentral is "bacterial SSU rRNA". It matches the Rfam family "Bacterial small subunit ribosomal RNA", at positions 28 to 521 of the family's 1533-position model. The record is from RNAcentral.
GAUGAACGCUGGCGGCGUGCCUAAUACAUGCAAGUCGAACGAGGUGCUUGAGUAGCAAUACAAGAGUAUCCUAGUGGCGAACGGGUGAGUAACGCGUGGGUGACCUGCCCCGAAGUGUGGGAUAACAGUCCGAAAGGAUUGCUAAUACCUCAUGUGGUUAUCGGAUUUAGAAACUGAUAACUAAAGCAGCAAUGCGCUUUGGGAGGGACCUGCGUCCCAUCAGCUAGUUGGUGAGGUAAUGGCUCACCAAGGCUACGACGGGUAGGGGACCUGAGAGGGUGGCCCCCCANAAUGGAACUGAAACACGGUCCAUACACCUACGGGUGGCAGCAGUAGGGAAUAUUGCACAAUGGGCGAAAGCCUGAUGCAGCAACGCCGCGUGUGCGAUGAAGGCCUUGGGUCGUAAAGCACUUUCUGAGAGAUGAGAAAGGACAGUAUCUCAGGAAUAAGUCUCGGCUAACUACGUGCCAGCAGCCGCGGU